RNAcentral lists this long non-coding RNA (1134 nucleotides) under Homo sapiens (human). RNAcentral describes it as "HSALNT0320538". The record is from RNAcentral. Lineage: Eukaryota; Metazoa; Chordata; Mammalia; Primates; Hominidae.
GUCGUCUUUGGAAAUUAUUACAAAGUUCAGCUGGAAGUCUCCUUCUCCCUGUGGACCUUCCCCAAUUCCACUGGCUGCCCUCCUCAAGGACCCCUGUGAGAUAAAUUCAGAAAUGGCUAUCCUUGGCUUCCCUGGGGAACAAGAGUGCCUGCAGUUCUUUUCCCACUUCUUUUACUUUUCUAUUUCACUGGGCUCUCUAAAUUCAUUUCAGCUCUAGGGAUUUGGAAAGGAUUCCGUGAUGGUUAAUAUUGAGUGUCAACUUGAUUGGAUUGAAGGAUGCAAAGUAUUGUUCCUGGGUGUGUCUGUGAGGGUGUCACCAAAGGAGAUGAACAUUUGAAUCAGUGAGCUGGGAGACACAAACCCAUACUCAAUCUUGGGGGACACCAUCUAAUCAGCUGCCAGUGCAACUAGGAUAAAAUCAGGCAGAGAAAUUUGGAAAGACUAGACUGGCUGAGUCUUCUGGCCUUCAUCUUUCUCCCAUGCUAGAUGCUUCCUGACCUCGAAUAUCAGACUCCAAGUUCUUUAGCUUUUGGACUCUUGGACCUUUGGCCACAGACGGAAGGCUGCACUUUUGAAGUUUUGGGACUUGGACUGGCUUCCUUGCUCCUCAGCUUACAGAUGGCCUAUUGUGGGACUUCACCUUGUGAUUGUAUCGUGGUCACCAGAUGGCUGUUGCCCUUCCAGGCUUCCAGCUCCUGUGUUCCAGACUGAAGAAGAGGAACAGAAAAAGGGUUCCACCUUGGCAUGGUCAGAAACAGCAGUUGACUAGUGAAGGAGGAAAUGAAUGAACAAAAAGGAAGAUCUCUCUUUUCUACAGCAAGCAGUAGUUUCUCACAGCAUCCAGCAUAGGUUACUCAAGACAAAAAGAGGAGUUUGGAUGAAAUGGCAUAGGGCUGACUACUGGACUAAGAAUUCUGGAUUUUAUUCUGCAAGCUGGUGGAGACACAUCAAAGGUGCUGGAUGCAGAAAGUCCAAGAUCAAGAUGCCAGUGGGAUUGGUUUCUGUGCUACUUGAAGGGGCACCAAAAAAUCAUGAGCCCAGGACAGGACAGAGGUGGAACUUAUUCUCCAGGUGCUCUACUUUGAAGUCAAGGACAUCUUACCAUCAUCCUGGAGAGCUGGAUCCUCCCAGAGU